RNAcentral lists this unclassified non-coding RNA (507 nucleotides) under plant metagenome. RNAcentral's name for it is "partial contains small subunit ribosomal RNA, internal transcribed spacer 1, and 5.8S ribosomal RNA". The record is from RNAcentral.
UUUCCGUAGGUGAACCUGCGGAGGGAUCAUUAACACGUUCCAACCCUAUCAACCAACCUGUGAACUUUGUAUCUGCCUCGACUUUUGAUAUUGGCAACAGUAUCGAAAAAAUUUGGUUUGGCUGCCUGUAGUACGCUGUCAGUCUCGAUGGUGGUGGAGAGGUCUCUCUGAUCUCUCCACUCGACUCCAGUGUAUCGCGAGAAGUCGCUUUAGAGCUUCUCAGCAGCGCCAAAUCCCAAAGGAGGCCCAAUCUAAUGGAUCAACCAGCUGACCAUCAGUUGUUUGAUCUGUUUAACCUUUUUCACGCCCAUUUGCAAGGUGGUCGAGUCUUACUCCGAUCUCACCUUACAAAACAGUAAUAAUCAAUUUCUAAUCUGCCACUGACCUGUGUCUGAUCGUUCUAGCUACCUAGUGUAGCUCCAGCGCAUCUCUGACUGCAGUGAGUAGUUAACCAAACCAAAAACUAACAGAGUAAUACAACUCUUAGCAAUGGAUAUCUUGGUUCUC